This 465-nucleotide ribosomal RNA is filed under the name uncultured bacterium. RNAcentral's name for it is "bacterial SSU rRNA". It matches the Rfam family "Bacterial small subunit ribosomal RNA", at positions 38 to 507 of the family's 1533-position model. The record is from RNAcentral.
GACGACGCUGGGCGGCGUGCCUAACACAUGCAAGUCGAGCGAGGACAGAGACUUCGGUUUUGUUCUAGCGGCGGACGGGUGAGUAACGCGUGAGCAACCUGGCUCAUACAGGGGGAUAACAUCGGGAAAUCGGUGCUAAUACCGCAUGAGACCACAUUGUCGAAUGACAAAGGGGUCAAAGGAGGAAUCCGGUAUGAGAGGGGCUCGCGUCCCAUUAGCUAGUUGGAGGGGUAAUGGCCCACCAAGGCGACGAUGGGUAGCCGACCUGAGAGGGUGAUCGGCCACACUGGGACUGAGACACGGCCCAGACUCCUACGGGAGGCAGCAGUGGGGAAUAUUGGGCAAUGGGGGGAACCCUGACCCAGCAACGCCGCGUGAGAGAAGAAGGUUUUCGGAUUGUAAAUCUCUGUUGUCAGGGACGAAGAAGUGACGGUACCUGACGAGGAAGCCCCGGCUAACUACGUG